CAAGCCUCCUCUCACGCCGAUUUGCCCUAACCGGCGACAGUUUUCCCCUUACGAUUUAAAGCCAUCCCAUUCCUCUUCUCAAUCAUCUUCCUCCGAUCACAGCCGACGCUGAUGCCCUAGCCUCUCCACCGUCGUGCCCUAGUCUUCCUUCUCGCCGCGAGCCACAGUGCUGAGCGCCUCCCCUCUGCUCUAGAUCGCCAACCCCAUUGACCUCGUUGCGCCUCCUAUCAUUGUUGCAUGCCACCAGGUCCGACCCAGCGCCGUCGUCUCUUGUGCCCUAGCAUCGGCGACUGAGCCUUGUUCCUUGAUUCUUCUUACUGUCGAUGCCAUUGGAGCCCUAGUUCUUCCCCUACGUGCCAUUGUCGAGCGCGACCUUGGUUCUGCCCUCUGUCCUUGGCGUCUCGACCCAUUGUCUCCUCUCGGCCUUGAUCACGCCGGUGCAAAGGCUCUUCAUCAUCGGCGCAGGGCCACCGCAGCCAGCAAGGUGUAGGGUUUCGGUGGAUCUAAAUUGUGGGGUUGUUCUUGGAUCCGACAGUCACUCCUUCCAGCAACCAACAACCCUAGUUGGGCAGCAAUUCUUUGAUUCCAGCUUGAUUUCUGCAGCAAGAACGGCUGUGAACUUGAGGAUUUUGACGCGAGACGAGUAUCUUGACGUCAGAUUUGGACCGGAUUAGACUUUUCGAUUGGAGGUUGAGGCUGUCCGGAGGAUUUCCAGUCACUAGUCCCCCCCCUCCAGAUUUCGAAGAUUUUCAUAUGGACCUUUUCAUUGUUCUUUUCUUACUAUAUAGUUGUCUAUGUAUUGGACUUAUGCUGGUUUUGCUUUAUGAAUAUUGUAUUAUCUUUAUUGUCGAUGAGUUUUAUUGGAUAUGUUUUACUA
Molecule: long non-coding RNA, 877 nt
Organism: Zingiber officinale
Lineage: Eukaryota; Viridiplantae; Streptophyta; Magnoliopsida; Zingiberales; Zingiberaceae
Exons: 4
Source: RefSeq, a predicted model, not a curated record